GUGUCAGCAGCCGCGGUAAUACGUAGGGUGCAAGCGUUAAUCGGAAUUACUGGGCGUAAAGCGUGCGCAGGCGGUCGUGCAAGACAGAUGUGAAAUCCCCGGGCUCAACCUGGGAACUGCAUUUGUGACUGCACGGCUGGAGUGCGGCAGAGGGGGAUGGAAUUCCGCGUGUAGCAGUGAAAUGCGUAGAUAUGCGGAGGAACACCGAUGGCGAAGGCAAUCCCCUGGGCCUGCACUGACGCUCAUGCACGAAAGCGUGGGGAGCAAACAGGAUUAGAUACCCUGGUAGUCCACGCCCUAAACGAUGUCAACUGGUUGUUGGGUGGGUUUCUACUCAGUAACGUAGCUAACGCGUGAAGUUGACCGCCUGGGGAGUACGGCCGCAAGGUUGAA
RNAcentral lists this ribosomal RNA (393 nucleotides) under uncultured bacterium. RNAcentral's name for it is "bacterial SSU rRNA". It matches the Rfam family "Bacterial small subunit ribosomal RNA", at positions 505 to 898 of the family's 1533-position model. The record is from RNAcentral.